This 58-nucleotide transfer RNA is filed under the name Nisia fuliginosa. RNAcentral describes it as "tRNA-Ser". The record is from RNAcentral. Lineage: Eukaryota; Metazoa; Arthropoda; Insecta; Hemiptera; Meenoplidae.
GGAAAUAUAAAAAUUAAUUAGCCGCUAACUAAUAAAAAAGCCCUUAGGUUUAUUUCCU